This 460-nucleotide ribosomal RNA is filed under the name uncultured bacterium. RNAcentral's name for it is "partial 16S ribosomal RNA". It matches the Rfam family "Bacterial small subunit ribosomal RNA", at positions 338 to 795 of the family's 1533-position model. The record is from RNAcentral.
CCUACGGGUGGCAGCAGUGAGGAAUAUUGGUCAAUGGACGAGAGUCUGAACCAGCCACGUAGCGUGAAGGAUGACGGCCCUAUGGGUUGUAAACUUCUUUUAUAUGGGAAUAAAAUGUUCCACGUGUGGGAUUUUGUAUGUACCAUAUGAAUAAGGAUCGGCUAACUCCGUGCCAGCAGCCGCGGUAAUACGGAGGAUCCGAGCGUUAUCCGGAUUUAUUGGGUUUAAAGGGAGCGUAGGUGGAUUGUUAAGUCAGUUGUGAAAGUUUGCGGCUCAACCGUAAAAUUGCAGUGGAAACUGGCAGUCUUGAGUACAGUAGAGGUGGGCGGAAUUCGUGGUGUAGCGGUGAAAUGCUUAGAUAUCACGAAGAACUCCGAUUGCGAAGGCAGUUCACUGGACUGCAACUGACGCUGAGGCUCGAAAGUGUGGGUAUCAAACAGGAUUAGAUACCCGUGUAGUC